GACGAACGCUGGCGGCGUGCUUAACACAUGCAAGUCGAACGGUGAAGCGCCUUCCUUUUUGGUGGGUGUGGAUGAGUGGCGAACGGGUGAGUAACACGUGAGUAACCUGCCCCCUUCUUCUGGAUAACCGCAUGAAAGUGUGGCUAAUACGGGAUAUUCUGGGUCUGUCGCAUGAUGGGUCUGGGAAAGAUGUUGUUUCGGUGGGGGAUGGGCUCGCGGCCUAUCAGCUUGUUGGUGGGGUGAUGGCCUACCAAGGCGGUGACGGGUAGCCGGCCUGAGAGGGUGGACGGUCACACUGGGACUGAGACACGGUCCAGACUCCUAAGGGAGGCAGAAGUGGAGAAGAUUGCACAAUGGGCGCAAGCCUGAUGCAGCGACGACGCGUGAGGGAUGGAGGCCUUCGGGGUGUGAACCUCUUUCGCCAGUGAAGCAGGCCUGCCUCGUUUGUGGGUGGGUUGACGGUAGCUGGAUAAGAAGCGCCGGCUAACUACGUG
RNAcentral lists this ribosomal RNA (494 nucleotides) under uncultured bacterium. Its description in RNAcentral is "partial 16S ribosomal RNA". It matches the Rfam family "Bacterial small subunit ribosomal RNA", at positions 28 to 507 of the family's 1533-position model. The record is from RNAcentral.